UGCCUGCUUCUGUGUGAUAUGUUUGAUAUUGGGUUGUUUAAUUAGGAACCAACUAAAUGUCAAACAUAUUCUUACAGCAGCUGGUG
Molecule: non-coding RNA, 86 nt
Organism: Macaca mulatta (Rhesus monkey)
Lineage: Eukaryota; Metazoa; Chordata; Mammalia; Primates; Cercopithecidae
Source: Rfam